UAGCUCAGCUGGUUAGAGCACCUGCAUCACACGCAGGGGGUCUGGGGUUCGAGUCCCUAA
Molecule: transfer RNA, 60 nt
Filed under: Caudoviricetes sp.
Lineage: Duplodnaviria; Heunggongvirae; Uroviricota; Caudoviricetes
Description: tRNA-Val
Rfam family: tRNA
About the family: Transfer RNA (tRNA) molecules are approximately 80 nucleotides in length.
Source: RNAcentral